RNAcentral lists this ribosomal RNA (301 nucleotides) under uncultured bacterium. RNAcentral describes it as "partial 16S ribosomal RNA". It matches the Rfam family "Bacterial small subunit ribosomal RNA", at positions 509 to 807 of the family's 1533-position model. The record is from RNAcentral.
CAGCCGCCACGGUAAUACGGAGGGUGCAAGCGUUAAUCGGAAUUACUGGGCGUAAAGCGCACGCAGGCGGUCUGUCAAGUCAGAUGUGAAAUCCCCGGGCUUAACCUGGGAACUGCAUUUGAAACUGGCAGGCUAGAGUCUUGUAGAGGGGGGUAGAAUUCCAGGUGUAGCGGUGAAAUGCGUAGAGAUCUGGAGGAAUACCGGUGGCGAAGGCAGCCAUCUGGCCUAAUACUGACGCUGAGGUACGAAAGCAUGGGGAGCAAACAGGAUUAGAUACCCGCGUAGUCCCUGUCUCUUAUAC